Long non-coding RNA from Cannabis sativa, 962 nucleotides. RefSeq lists it as uncharacterized. The record is from RefSeq and is a predicted model, not a curated record. The transcript has 2 exons. NCBI's taxonomy places the organism in Eukaryota, Viridiplantae, Streptophyta, Magnoliopsida, Rosales, Cannabaceae.
AGAAAAGCUAUACUCAAAAACUGUUAUACCUCCAACAUUUAUGGGAGAUUCUCUUUUUAUCAAUUAAACCUCCCUAACAAAAAACAAAUUGUAGUUACCAAAAAAAAAAACAACCCUUAUUUCAUUUUUAUUCUCUUCUAUAUUUCUUCUCUAGCCGCCUCCAAAAUUUUUACUCACUACCAAUAACCAUUUCCGGCCAUUCACUACACUGCUCGCCUCUAUUGUCGCCGCCGGUCAAAGAUCUACUUCAGAGAUACCAAUGCUGUGAAGUUUUGCAUUUGAAGAAUUCGAUCAAAUUUAGAGCAAACGUUAGAUAGGAUUAUCAUGAGCACUACUGCUACAGGAGAGCAUGAAACCUUAUUUGAGCAACUCAAGAGUACUGAUGAGUCAGUGACGCUUGAUAAAUUUUCUGACGAGAGAAAUAACAAGAGAUCAAUUAAACGACUUGAGAAACAAAUAAAAAAAAUGAAAAGAAAAAAUCAAACGAAGGAACAAGAAUUUGUAAAAUUACUUGAAGUAAUUGUUCGUCUUGUUGAGGUCGUGGAGUUUGGAAGUAGAAGUAAUGACAUAUCUAAUGUGGAUAGGGAAACUCCAAAUUCUAGUAUACCAGAUGUUAUUAAAGUGUUAAAUUCCUUACCUGGAAUUGAGAUUGGGAGCAAUUUAUAUUUCUUUGCAACUCGCUUGUUUAUAGUGAAAGAAAAAAGAGAGAUAUUUCUUUCACUUGAAAAUCCCAAUCUCAAGCUUGACUGGCUCAAGUAUGAGCAAAAGAUGUUUAUUUCAUCAAAAAAUCAUGAACUCAACUCAAGCUUAAUUGGCUAAGUAUGAACAUCAUGUUACAGCUAUACGUCUACCGCUCUAGUAUAAGUAUGAUGCUUAAAUUUAUAGUAUUUGUUUUUAAACCUUGUGUUAUGACUAUUUAAUGUAUGUUUUCCAUAUUAUUAUGAGUACUAGUAUUUGUUUUA